This 581-nucleotide long non-coding RNA is filed under the name Homo sapiens (human). RNAcentral's name for it is "WNT5A antisense RNA 1 (WNT5A-AS1)". The record is from RNAcentral. Lineage: Eukaryota; Metazoa; Chordata; Mammalia; Primates; Hominidae.
GCUGAUCCUGCAGCCGCGAGUUAGUGUGGACGUCUCUGUACACACACAGACACACACCCCAACACACACACCCCCGCUGCAGCUUUGGGGCCACAGAACAAUCAGGCGCGCAUGGCUUUUUCUCCGGGAGAUGCCGCUGAAAACGCACAAGUCGCCAUCUGAGCUGCAAGAGUCAGCCCCAAAUUGUGUCCUUUCAUUUUAGGGUUCGGCAAAAACGGGGAGCAAAAUAGGUGAAAGUCGCCCCGGAACUUAUUGCUGUGCGGGCGAAGGGCGAAGAGCAGCGAGUGCACCGCGGGCGCGAGGCUGGGGAAGGGCGAGAGCUCGGAGCUCCGCGGCGGCGACUCAGCUCCGGCGGUCCAUGGCCGGCGAAGCUGCCCACCUCCUCGUUUGGCGCCCGGGUCCGAGGGGCGGGAGAGCGGGCCGGCGGGAGGCGGGCGGUCCCGGGCACAACGGCGGCGGCGGAAGGGCUCGCUGGGCAGCUGCCGCACGGACCCCGGCUCUGGGCGGCGGAGGCGGCUCCGUGGAGCUCGCAGCAGAUUUCCACGCGAUCCUGUGCCCCGCAAACAGACUGACCGACCGCG